UGCGUAACAGCUCACUAGUCAAGAGACCCUGCGCGGAAAAUGUAACGGGGCUAAAGCAUAGUACCGAAGAUAUGGAUUGUCACAUUAGUGGCAGUGGUAGAGGAGCGUUGUUGUCUGCAGUGAAGUUGAACUGUAAGGUUUGGUGGAGCGGCAACAAGUGAGAAUGCUGGAAUAAGUAACUUCAAGACAGGUGAGAAUCCUGUCCGCCGAAAGAGCGAGGUUUCCUGGGCCAUGGUAAUCAUCCCAGGGUUAGUCGGGCCUAAGCCGAGGCGCGUAGCGUAGGCGAUGGACAACGGGUUAAUAUUCCCGUACCGGUUUUUUGUUGCUAAUUGGUGCGCAGAAUGGUAGCCAGAGCAGUUUGAUGGUAUAACUGUCUAAGCGUCUAGUUCGGCUUAUGCCGAGUGAAGCGCGAAUGAAAGUACCGAUUUAUCGGUACGAUUCUGGUGAGCCAAGCUGACUAGAAAAGCCAUUUAGUGUAAAAAAUAACCGACCGUACCGUAAACCGACACAGGUGCUCAGGUCGAGUAGACCAAGGUGUACGAGAGAACCCUUCUUAAGGAACUCGGCAAUACAGCGACCGUAACUUAGGGAUAAGGUCUGCCUCGCCACAAUGCCAUUAUUAUUUGGAUAAUCUGCUUUUAGCUAUCAGCUGAAUAGACAGAAAAGCAAACCGGAUACCAAAUUAAUGAUGCUAUUGUGGCGAGGCCGCAGCUAAAGAGCCCAUGCAACUGUUUACUAAAAACAUAGGUCUCUGCUAACACGAAAGUGGAUGUAUAGGGGCUGACGCCUGCCCGGUGCUGGAAGGUUAAGGAGAGAGCUUCACGGCUUGAACUGAAGCCCCAGUGAACGGCGGCCCUAACUAUAAGGGUCCUAAGGUAGCGAAAUUCCUUGUCAGGUAAGUUCUGACCCGCACGAAUGGCGUAAUGAUAUGGGUACUGUCUCGAGAAGGGACUCGGUGAAAGUGCAUUGACGGUAAAGAUGCCGUCUGUCCGCAUCAGGACGAAAAGACCCCGUGGAGCUUUACUGCAGUUUGACAUUGGACCGGGCUGCUAUAUGUGUAGCAUAGGUGGGAGGCUGUGAAGCUCUGGCGCUAGCCAGAGUGGAGCCAUCGGUGAAAUACCACCCUUAUAGUAGUCUUGUUCUUACCCAGGCCGUUAUCCGGUUUGGGGACAGUGUCUGAUGGGUAGUUUAACUGGGGCGGUUGCCUCCUAAAGAGUAACGGAGGCGUUCAAAGGUUCUCUCAGGACCAAUAGAAAUGGUCUGUCGAGUGCAAGUGCAGAAGGGUGCUUAACUGCGAGACCUACAAGU
Molecule: ribosomal RNA, 1308 nt
Filed under: wastewater metagenome
Description: bacterial LSU rRNA
Rfam family: Bacterial large subunit ribosomal RNA
Source: RNAcentral